UCGGCCAGGCCCUUGUCGGUCACCUUGCCGUUCUGGACGAACUCCGGGUCCCCCUGGAAGAUCGAUUCGGGGAAGAGCUCGCCGCGCGGAAUCUUGAUCCCGAACUCUCGUUCGAGCCGGAAGACGAUGUCAAGGAAGUCGAUCGACUCGGCGCCGAGAUCGCCUUGGAGCGUCGCUGCGGGCGUGAUCUCUUCCUCGUCCACAUUCAGCGCUUCCACCAGCGUCGCGGAGACCUUUUGAUAGAUUUCGUCCUGGCUCG
Molecule: unclassified non-coding RNA, 259 nt
Filed under: uncultured fungus
Lineage: Eukaryota; Fungi
Description: sequence contains ITS1
Source: RNAcentral